AAAGAAACACCGAAGUGAGAAAAGAAAUUACAGAUAGAGAGAGAGCUGUAGCUCUGUUGAGAAAAGAAAAAGGUGGUAGCUCUUCUUUGUAAAACAAAAGGCCGAAGCCUGAGUGUAUUAUUAUAUAUAAAAGUGUGUUGUGUUGUUUAGUAUUUUAUUCUCCAAACUUGUUUAAACCCAUUCACGUUUCUAACAAGUGGCAUCAGAGCCGAGGUUUCGUUCGAAAAAAAUAAUGGUAAGUUUCCUCGAAGCCCAAGUUCCAAUGUUGACGGGCAAAAAUUAUGGAGACUAGAGUAACCAAAUGAAGGAAUUACUCGGUUUCUAUGAUAUUUGGGAUAUUGUCGAAAGCGGGUAUAAUGAGCCUACAAAAGCUGCUGAAGUAGCCCUGUCAGAUGCCGAGAAGACGACAUUAAAUGGGUGCAGGAGCAAAAACGAGGCAUGUUUCAUGAUUUAUCAAGGUGUCGAUGAAUUCACCUUUGAUAAUAUGCAGAAAUCAUUCCAAGGAGU
This 507-nucleotide long non-coding RNA is filed under the name Daucus carota (carrot). Its description in RNAcentral is "long non-coding RNA (DCAR_LNC007624)". The record is from RNAcentral. Lineage: Eukaryota; Viridiplantae; Streptophyta; Magnoliopsida; Apiales; Apiaceae.